UUUAGAUGUGUAUAUCGGGAUUGCAUGCUGAGGCGUCUGUGUGCGCGCGCUUCGGAUCUGUCAGUCAGCACGAGUAAGAUCGAUUUGUUUACAUCAGCAUGAGUUUGAAAAUCACACUUCAUUGGUUCAGACUCUUGCCAAUCAAAAUUCGCUAUGGAUAUUCACAAAGUUGGAACGCUGUGCUUUAAAAUGAUACCAAACUUGUGCUGAGGGAAAGCGCGAGUGGUGAAGCGAGCAGAGGAAAAACAGCAUUUUUCAUGGACAAAGGAAAGCAGGAGGACCUUCUGCACCAGUCAGUUGGAUGUCACCAGUGUCAGUUGGAUGAAGGUGAUUGGCACUGCUGUCAGCUCCAUUUGGAGCACAGAGCUGGCCUUGAUGAGCGUGUGAGUGGGACGGUUCACGUACUCUGACUUCUUUCACACCCGUGGGUGUCACACCUGCGUACCCAACUCGAGAGUGAAACAUUACUGAUUGCGGACUUUUUUUCUCCCUGAUGUACAGAGCGACUGUCACCUCGGUGACAUGAGAAUGAAUCCUCUCUAUCUGUCCUGUAAUCAAACUCUUUGAGCUCCUGCUGCUGUUCUUGAUUUUGUAAUUGGGUGAUUUGAUUGCAAUUGUUAUACUUUUGAUUAAAAAUUUUAAAAAGAGUUUGCCCCCACAUUGUUUGUGCUAUAUGGACAUAACUGAUACCUCAAAUCAUGUGGCUCAAUGAGAAGAGGUGUAUUAUUACAGUACUUUUCUAAUCGAUUCUCCUUCGUUUUUCAUCUGCCAAACAAUAAAAAAGAUGAAGCACUCUGA
This is a long non-coding RNA of Megalobrama amblycephala (Wuchang bream), 798 nucleotides long. RefSeq lists it as uncharacterized. Lineage: Eukaryota; Metazoa; Chordata; Actinopteri; Cypriniformes; Xenocyprididae. The transcript has 2 exons. The record is from RefSeq and is a predicted model, not a curated record.